UACGUCGGGUGCGAGCGUUGUCCGGAAUUAUUGGGCGUAAAGGGCUCGUAGGCGGUUUGUCGCGUCGGGAGUGAAAACACCGGGCUUAACUCGGUGCUUGCUUUCGAUACGGGCAGACUAGAGGUAUGCAGGGGAGAACGGAAUUCCUGGUGUAGCGGUGAAAUGCGCAGAUAUCAGGAGGAACACCGGUGGCGAAGGCGGUUCUCUGGGCAUUACCUGACGCUGAGGAGCGAAAGUGUGGGGAGCGAACAGG
This 253-nucleotide ribosomal RNA is filed under the name uncultured bacterium. RNAcentral's name for it is "partial 16S ribosomal RNA". It matches the Rfam family "Bacterial small subunit ribosomal RNA", at positions 524 to 776 of the family's 1533-position model. The record is from RNAcentral.